Molecule: long non-coding RNA, 846 nt
Organism: Oncorhynchus keta (chum salmon)
Lineage: Eukaryota; Metazoa; Chordata; Actinopteri; Salmoniformes; Salmonidae
Exons: 3
Source: RefSeq, a predicted model, not a curated record
GUCAGUUAGAGACAGUAGGAUAGAUAGAUACUGGUCAGUUAGAGACAGUAGGAUAGAUAGAUACUGGUCAGUUAGAGACAGUAGGAUAGAUAGAUACUGGUCAGUUAGAGACAGUAGGAUAGAUAGAUACUGGUCAGUUAGAGACAGUAGGAUAGAUACUGGUCAGUUAGAGACAGUAGGAUAGAUAGAUACUGGUCAGUUAGAGACAGUAGGAUAGAUAGAUACUGGUCAGUUAGAGACAGUAGGAUAGAUAGAUACUGGUCAGUUAGAGACAGUAGGAUAGAUACUGGUCAGUUAGAGACAGUAGGAUAGAUACUGGUCAGUUAGAGACAGUAGGAUAGAUAGAUACUGGUCAGUUAGAGACAGUAGGAUAGAUAGAUACUGGUCAGUUAGAGACAGUAGGAUAGAUACUGGUCAGUUAGAGACAGUAGGAUAGAUACUGGUCAGUUAGAGACAGUAGGAUAGAUACUGGUCAGUUAGAGAAAGAUAGAUAGAUACUGGUCAGUUAGUAGGAUAGAUAGAUACUGGUCAAUUAGAGACAGUAGGAUAGAUACUGGUCAGUUAGAGACAGUAGGAUAGAUAGAUACUGGUCAGUUAGAGACAGUAGGAUAGAUAGAUACUGGUCAGUUAGAGACAGUAGGAUAGAUAGAUACUGGUCAGUUAGAGACAGUAGGAUAGAUAGAUACUGGUCAGUUAGAGACAGUAGGAUAGAUAGAUACUGGUCAGUUAGAGACAGUAGGAUAGAUACUGGUCAGUUAGAGACAGUAGGAUAGAUACUGGUCAGUUAGAGACAGUAGGAUAGAUACUGGUCAGUUAGAGACAGUAGGAUAGAUAGAUACUGGUCAG